UCCUCCCUCUUUCUUCGUGCUUAACACAUGCAAGUCGAACGGAAAGGCCCUGCUUUUGUGGGGUGCUCGAGUGGCGAACGGGUGAGUAACACGUGAGUAACCUGCCCUUGACUUUGGGAUAACUUCAGGAAACUGGGGCUAAUACCGGAUAGGAGCUCCUGCUGCCUGGUGGGGGUUGGAAAGUUUCGGCGGUUGGGGAUGGACUCGCGGCUUAUCAGCUUGUUGGUGGGGUAGUGGCUUACCGAGGCUUUGCCGGGUAGCCGGCCUGAGAUGGUGACCGGCCUCGUUGGGACUGAGAUACGGCCAAGACUCCUACGGGAGGCAGCAGUGGGGAAUAUUGCAUAAUGGGCGGAAGCAUGAUGCAGCAACGCCGCGUGCGGGAUGACGGCCUUCGGGUUGUAAACCGCUUUCGCCGGUGACGAAGCGUGAGUGACGGUAAUGGGUAAAGAAGCACCGGCUAACUACGUG
RNAcentral lists this ribosomal RNA (468 nucleotides) under uncultured bacterium. RNAcentral describes it as "partial 16S ribosomal RNA". It matches the Rfam family "Bacterial small subunit ribosomal RNA", at positions 36 to 507 of the family's 1533-position model. The record is from RNAcentral.